GACGAAGGAUGCAAGCGUUAUCCGGAUUCAUUGGGUUUAAAGGGAGCGUAGGUGGCCUUGUAAGUCAGUGGUGAAAUCCUGUCGCUUAACGAUAGAAUUGCCAUUGAUACUGCAGGGCUUGAGUACAGUUGCCGUUGGCGGAAUAUGACAUGUAGUGGUGAAAUACAUAGAUAUGUCAUAGAACACCGAUUGCGAAGGCAGCUGACGAAACUGUAACUGACAACUGAGGCUCGAAAGUGUGGGGAUCAAACAG
Molecule: ribosomal RNA, 253 nt
Filed under: uncultured bacterium
Lineage: Bacteria
Description: partial 16S ribosomal RNA
Rfam family: Bacterial small subunit ribosomal RNA
Source: RNAcentral